RNAcentral lists this ribosomal RNA (253 nucleotides) under uncultured bacterium. RNAcentral describes it as "partial 16S ribosomal RNA". It matches the Rfam family "Bacterial small subunit ribosomal RNA", at positions 524 to 776 of the family's 1533-position model. The record is from RNAcentral.
UACAGAGGUCUCAAGCGUUGUUCGGAUUCAUUGGGCGUAAAGGGUGCGUAGGUGGCGCCGUAAGUCGGGUGUGAAAUUUCGGAGCUUAACUCCGAAACUGCAUUCGAUACUGCGGUGCUUGAGGACUGGAGAGGAGACUGGAAUUCAUGGUGUAGCAGUGAAAUGCGCAGAUAUCAGGAGGAACACCGGUGGCGAAGGCGGUUCUCUGGGCAUGUCCUGACGCUGAGGAGCGAAAGUGUGGGGAGCGAACAGG